This 1745-nucleotide long non-coding RNA is filed under the name Fragaria vesca (wild strawberry). Its description in RNAcentral is "long non-coding RNA (FVES_LNC004039)". The record is from RNAcentral. Lineage: Eukaryota; Viridiplantae; Streptophyta; Magnoliopsida; Rosales; Rosaceae.
CACAUCAGACGAUCGAAUUUUCAUUCUGUAAAUUUUAGUCAUUAGAAUUGCAACGUGCCUACUAAUGUGAUAUAACAUAUUUAAUAGGUUAUAUGUAAGUGUAAAACAUUGUGAACCAACUAUACAGAGAAAGUAAAAUUUUCAAAAAUCUCGUGAAAUAAGAUGUGAUCAGAAUAAUGAAAUAUGACUAUGGUUGAAAAAUCACGUAUAUCGAGUAACGUCUAGGUCACGAUAGAAGCGGUCAACCAUUUUAAAGCUUAAUAUAGCCUAUGGAAGCCCUAUCGUCGGGACGUAAACGUCUCUAAAUUUUUACAUGGGUAGUUACGUCCCAUCUAUGUGAGAGUUUAACGUGUGGAAGGAUCAACCAAAUUAGGUCACAGAGAUGUAGUUAAGAGCGUUUCUGUGUGAUAAGUGACAAUGAAGUAGGGUUGACAGCUUCGAUCGAGCCCCGAACGUUGUCGAAUACAAUUGAAUUUAAUACUAUAGCCAUAUUUCACUAUAAUGAUCACAUCAGACGGUCAAAUUUUUAUUUUGUGAAUUUUAGUCAUUGGAUUGCAACGUGCCUACUAAUGUAGUAUAACUUGUUUAAUAGGUUAUAGACAAUUGUACAACUUUGUAAACCAACUAUACAGAUAAAGAAAAAUUUAAAAAAAAACUCAUGGAAUAAGAUGUGAUCGAAAUAAUGAAAUACGAUAAUGGUUGAAAAAUCACGUACAUCGGGUAACGUCUAGGUCCCGAUAGAAGCGGUCAACCAUUUUUACGCUUAAUAUAUCCUAUGAGAGCCCUAUCGUCGGGACGUAAACGUCUCCAAAUUUUUACAUGGGUGGUUACGUCUCAUCUAUGUGAGAGUUUAACGUGUGGAAGGAUCGAUCAAACUAGGUCACAAAAAGGUAGGUAAGAGCGUUUCCGUGUGAUAAAUGACGAUGAAUUAGGGUUGACCACUUCGAUUGAGCCCCAAACGUUGCCGAAUACAAUUGAAAUUAAUACCAUAGCCAUGUUUCACUAUAAUGAUCACAUCAAACGGUCAAAUUUUCAUUAUGUAAAUUUUAAUCAUUAGAAUUGCAACAUGCCUACUAAUGUGUUAUAACUCGUUUAAUAUGUUAUAUUCACUAUGUACAACUUUGUCAACCAACUAUACAGAGAAAGCAAAAAUUUCAAAAAAUUUUCAAUUGAAAAUAAGAUUUGAUUGGAAUAAUGAAAUACGACUAUGGUUGAAAAAUCACGUACAUCGGGUAACGUCUGGGUUCCAUUAGAAGCGGUCAACCUUUUUUAUGCUUACGGGAGCCCUAUCGUUAGGACGUAAACGUCUCCAAAUUUUUACAUGGAUGGUUAAGUCCCAUCUAUAUGAGAGUUUAACGUGUGGAAUGAUCGACCAAACUAGGUCACAGAGAGGCAGAUAAGAGCGUAUCCGUGUGAUAAGUGACGAUGGAUUAAGAUUGACCGCUUUGAUCGAGCCCCGAACGUUGCCGAAUAUAGUUGAAUUUAAUACUAUAACCAUGUUUCACUAUAAUGAUCACAUAAAACGGUCGAAUUUUCAUUUUGUGAAUUUUUGUUAUUGAAAUCGUAAUGUGCCUACAAAUGUGGUAUAUAUUUUUCUUUUAUUUUAUUAUUGAGUGAUUUGUCAUUAUACAAAAGUUUUUUCUUUCCUUAUUAUUAGCAUUUAGUCUUUAGAUAAUCACAAUCAACCACCCUAUGUGGACUAAGUCAACGCCCUCAUCAUCCAAUUGCAUACAACGAUACAAAAC